This is a long non-coding RNA of Dinoponera quadriceps, 1062 nucleotides long. RefSeq lists it as uncharacterized. Lineage: Eukaryota; Metazoa; Arthropoda; Insecta; Hymenoptera; Formicidae. The transcript is spliced from 4 exons. The record is from RefSeq and is a predicted model, not a curated record.
UAAUAUGUAUAAAAUACGUAUAAUUUGUAUAUAAUAUGUAUAUAAUAUGUGUGUAAUAUGAAAUGUAUAUUACACAGGAUGUUUGACGCAAGCUGUUCGCCACAUAUUUCUAGUUUAAUUACAUCAGCAUAAAUAAUAAUAGAACACAUGAGAAAAGUAGAAUAAUAGAAGAGAAUUAUAUAAAAAAAUACUUGUUGUGCGAGAAAAUAACGUAUAAAAAACUGUGCAGUAUUUGGUAGCCUGUAAUUUGAUUAGAAAUAGUUCGUGAUUAGCAAGACGUCACACGCUUGAGAAUAGUUUAGCGAUAUUAUCGUAGAGAGAGGGGCAGACUUUAAUGUACGAAGGCAUUAAAGUCCGAAAGUAGUAGUAGUCCGAAGUGAAGAAAACAUGUGAUCGUGAUAUGUAAUCUACUGAAGUUUGUUUGAAAUGUACAUGAAAACAUUUUUUUUAAUUGACAAAUUUAUCUUGUUUUUACAUUUCACAUAUAUAUAAAGCUACGUCCGGUUUCGCGUCGCGAUGUAUUUGUGCUUUGGACGUUAGUUUGCCAGUGUCUUUAAUUGUCAAUUUUCCUUCCGUCUAAUAACGGUCGACCACACACCAAUGGUAUCUGUAUAUCCUGAAACGGAUGCUCGCUUGGGAAGGCUACGAUUGGGAAUCUUGGGUUAAAGGUACAAAGGCCUACAUGGACAUGCAAGUGUUCCGUAGAAAGCAUUUAAUAAUAAGCACAAAGCUUUCCCGGCUGGAUAACAAGCAAUACCAGGCGGCAUCGAAAUUCGAGCAACCGUGAUAUCCGGAGUGAGAAGAAGCGGACUUUAUAAGCGAUCGAUCCUCACCUUGAAGGAGUGAACUGAAAUGUUCACGAAACAUCGGAGAGAAGUCUUCGAAAAACGUGGCGCUAACUCGGAAGCCACGUCGAAUGUUAGAUCAUUCCGUGUCAUUAUGAAUAAAAAUAAGGCAAAUGUGCGAGAAAUAUCAGAAAAUAUUAAUUUUUAACGCGAGAACGCAUUAAAAUUUCGUAACAACCUACCGUGGAUGUCUGGUCGAUCGUCGUUAGACAGAAGA